RNAcentral lists this ribosomal RNA (260 nucleotides) under uncultured bacterium. Its description in RNAcentral is "partial 16S ribosomal RNA". It matches the Rfam family "Bacterial small subunit ribosomal RNA", at positions 1241 to 1500 of the family's 1533-position model. The record is from RNAcentral.
AACGAGUCGCAAGACCGCGAGGUUUAGCAAAUCUCUUAAAGCCGUUCUCAGUUCGGAUUGUAGGCUGCAACUCGCCUACAUGAAGUCGGAAUCGCUAGUAAUCGCGGAUCAGCAUGCCGCGGUGAAUACGUUCCCGGGCCUUGUACACACCGCCCGUCACACCAUGAGAGUUUGUAACACCCAAAGCCGGUGGGGUAACCUUUUGGAGCCAGCCGCCUAAGGUGGGACAGAUGAUUGGGGUGAAGUCGUAACAAGGUACC